RNAcentral lists this ribosomal RNA (1345 nucleotides) under Staphylococcus aureus. Its description in RNAcentral is "bacterial SSU rRNA". It matches the Rfam family "Bacterial small subunit ribosomal RNA", at positions 42 to 1368 of the family's 1533-position model. Lineage: Bacteria; Bacillati; Bacillota; Bacilli; Caryophanales; Staphylococcaceae. The record is from RNAcentral.
GCGUGCCUAAUACAUGCAAGUCGAGCGAACGGACGAGAAGCUUGCUUCUCUGAUGUUAGCGGCGGACGGGUGAGUAACACGUGGAUAACCUACCUAUAAGACUGGGAUAACUUCGGGAAACCGGAGCUAAUACCGGAUAAUAUUUUGAACCGCAUGGUUCAAAAGUGAAAGACGGUCUUGCUGUCACUUAUAGAUGGAUCCGCGCUGCAUUAGCUAGUUGGUAAGGUAACGGCUUACCAAGGCAACGAUGCAUAGCCGACCUGAGAGGGUGAUCGGCCACACUGGAACUGAGACACGGUCCAGACUCCUACGGGAGGCAGCAGUAGGGAAUCUUCCGCAAUGGGCGAAAGCCUGACGGAGCAACGCCGCGUGAGUGAUGAAGGUCUUCGGAUCGUAAAACUCUGUUAUUAGGGAAGAACAUAUGUGUAAGUAACUGUGCACAUCUUGACGGUACCUAAUCAGAAAGCCACGGCUAACUACGUGCCAGCAGCCGCGGUAAUACGUAGGUGGCAAGCGUUAUCCGGAAUUAUUGGGCGUAAAGCGCGCGUAGGCGGUUUUUUAAGUCUGAUGUGAAAGCCCACGGCUCAACCGUGGAGGGUCAUUGGAAACUGGAAAACUUGAGUGCAGAAGAGGAAAGUGGAAUUCCAUGUGUAGCGGUGAAAUGCGCAGAGAUAUGGAGGAACACCAGUGGCGAAGGCGACUUUCUGGUCUGUAACUGACGCUGAUGUGCGAAAGCGUGGGGAUCAAACAGGAUUAGAUACCCUGGUAGUCCACGCCGUAAACGAUGAGUGCUAAGUGUUAGGGGGUUUCCGCCCCUUAGUGCUGCAGCUAACGCAUUAAGCACUCCGCCUGGGGAGUACGACCGCAAGGUUGAAACUCAAAGGAAUUGACGGGGACCCGCACAAGCGGUGGAGCAUGUGGUUUAAUUCGAAGCAACGCGAAGAACCUUACCAAAUCUUGACAUCCUUUGACAACUCUAGAGAUAGAGCCUUCCCCUUCGGGGGACAAAGUGACAGGUGGUGCAUGGUUGUCGUCAGCUCGUGUCGUGAGAUGUUGGGUUAAGUCCCGCAACGAGCGCAACCCUUAAGCUUAGUUGCCAUCAUUAAGUUGGGCACUCUAAGUUGACUGCCGGUGACAAACCGGAGGAAGGUGGGGAUGACGUCAAAUCAUCAUGCCCCUUAUGAUUUGGGCUACACACGUGCUACAAUGGACAAUACAAAGGGCAGCGAAACCGCGAGGUCAAGCAAAUCCCAUAAAGUUGUUCUCAGUUCGGAUUGUAGUCUGCAACUCGACUACAUGAAGCUGGAAUCGCUAGUAAUCGUAGAUCAGCAUGCUACGGUGAAUA